GACUGAUAUGAAAUGAAAAAGGCUGGGAACAUAUUAAAUACGCACGUCGUCAACGGGGAAUGGUAAAAUUAUAUACUAGUAUUGAGAUGCUGAUGAUGUGGGUCAGGGUGUAAUACAGCAAACCAGAGGUCAUAAUUUAUACAGCUGUGUAUGGAAAAGUGGCCUUUGAAAUUGAAGGGCGUUGGAAGCAAUUAAAGGAGAUCUACCUAACUCAGGUUCUACUGUAUUACAUUCUUGAAGUAUCCAGAUUAGAAGCAGAAAUGGCCGAGAACUAUUCUGGGAAGCCAGUUAGCAGCCAGCCUGGAAUGCCCGGUGAGUGGAUGGCAAUGCCCAAUGUCCAGUACUCGCCAACCUGCCCUCCUGGACUGGAAUACUUGACCCAGAUUGACCAGGUCCUCAUCCACCAACAGAUAGAGGUUUUCGAAGUACUCACUGGCAUUGAGAUGUGUAAUAAAUACCAGAUCAAAAAUUCCCUAGGACAACAGAUCUACUUUGCUUAUGAAGGUAAGUCCAAUGUAUUCAGAAAUAUUGGGUGUAUUUUUUUUUCAGGGGGUUGGUUCAAGAUCAAAUUGAUUAUGAAGAAUGAGGUGGGUUUGUCAAAGUUUUUCACUCUCUUUUUUUAUUGUGAAUUCACAUGAAAUAUUAACAUGUGAAUGUAAUGGCAAUCAAAUGAAAUCAGUGCAACAUAAGUAACUUGACUAAAAAUGUAAAUUAAAAUAAGUUAUUUAUUAUAAUGUUAAUUUUAGUGUAGUAGGUUUCAAGGUAAACAAUGUAUCUUUCUUGAGCAAGUGUUGGCCCUGAAAAGGACCACCCAAACUCGACGUUUUGACAAGUGUGUUCUUGUCGUCUUCAGGGGAAUGUUAAUUUUGUUGAUCUUUGUCAGUUGUAUGUAUUCUCUAAAAUUCAGUUACCAAAUGCACAUUUAUUCUCCAACUGUUUGAACACAGUAAUAAAACUCUCUCAAAUAGUAUUAAACUGAAACUUAUUCUGGAUAUAAAAACUUGGGGGGGGGGGUCAACUUUCAUACUGGGCCAUUAGAUAAUGGCUGAAAUACUCUUUAAGACACAAAUAUUAGUUUGCAUUUAAUUACAUAAUUAUGGAUUUACCCUUUGAAAUAAUAAGUGUCCCCAGGGGCAAAGUGCCAUCAUAAUGAGGUAAUUAUCUCAAUCAUAAAAUGUUUCCAGUAUUGACAGUGGUCAUAAAAUGAACCUAAAUUAAAUUUAUUGUACAUAUCUCAGAUGAACCAGUUGAUCUUUAGGGCAAGUCCAAGAAUUCGCACGUGUUACGUAUGGGACAUUUCAGAGGCUUUAAUGACCUGAAAAAUAGUGUUAAAUGACUUUGAUUAAAUUGAAUACCCUCAUGAUGGUAGACAUCUAGGAGAAGAAUAAUCAUGCAAAAAAUUGUAUCAUAUGGCCUUGACCUUGACCUUUUAGAGAGAAAAGAUGUGCCGUUACGUAUGGGACGCAGAAAUAAGACAAUUUUUAUAACCUUUUUUUCAAGUUGAGAAUUCUCUGAAAGUAUUUAAUUUGACAGCUUGUAACUUAGUGUAAUAGAAGUCACUACACUCUAGUAUAUCUAUGGCAAGUUUCAUGUCAUAAGCCCAAACCCUCUAAUUACAGACUCUAAUUAAACAAAUUAAUGACAUGUUACGUAUGGGACAGUUACGUAUGGGACAUUUUGUCCCCAUAGAGAACGUACAUAAUUUUCCCCAUAAUUUCAAAAAUCAAAUAAUCAAAAAUAUGGAAAUAACAAGAGUUUUUUUCUUUUAAAAUGUUCUAUUGAGACAUAUUUGAUAUGACUGAAAAGAAAAUUAGCCAUUUCAACAAUUUUUUUUCUUGUUUUUCAUGGUUUCAUGAAUUUCUUAUGUAUUUCUAUUGUUUUUUAUUUUUUUCAUAUUGUUCCAUUUUCACAGUUUUUUCACUUUGAUUGUUUUCAUCAAUCAGUAUUCAUAACAAAUUAGUCUUUAAACACUAAAGAAAAGGUAAAUAAUCACUUUUUAGAGCACUCUUGAAAUUGGUUUUUCUCCAUUCACUUUGUACACAAAUCUCCCCAUUGACAUUGUGUGUAAAUGUCCCAUACGUAACAUGUUGUCCCAUACGUAACAAUUUUUUAAUUAAGUUUUAAUUAAAAAGUAAACUUUAUUUUUGAAUCUUUUGUGGUAUAACAAUUUCCUACUUAAUGAAUUAGAACUUCCCAGAGAUACAACAAUGCAAGUAUUGUAUUAUGAGAAAUAACUUAAAAAAACAUCCUCAAAAUGUUACGUAUGGGACAUUCCAUCCUUGGACAAGACCUAAUUUGCAUAUUUAAUUAGAUGACACCACUUUUUUCCCCAAAAAGUAACAAGAUGUUAUGGGGUCCAUGUCCCACCUAUGACUAAAUCUUACAAGUUUUGUUUUGAUUUUCUAUGAGUUUUUGUAAUUGUCCCAUACGUAACGCCCAUUUUACCAAUUAUGCAAAUUAGGUGCCCCAAAUUAGCAUAAAUAUGUAUAUUAUCAAAUUUUUCUUUAUGAAAUUUUAAAAUUCAACAUUUGGGCUUUCUUACCCAACCAAAGAUAACUUCUUAGAUUAAAGAUGAAAUUUUGCCUUCUAGGGUGACCUUUUCUUGGACUUGUUAUUUUGGGUUUCUCAUGAGAGUAUAAAUAUUAAAGUUUUCGGUGACAAAAUUAAGAAGAACUAGAUUUUAAUUCGUCAUGCGGACGAAUUAGGUGGUCUGUCAUGAUUUUUCAUUCAUUGUCGGCUAAUGUUGUAUAAAAUGAAUCCCGGGAAUGAAUCAUUCAGAUAUGAUUGAUAAUCUUGAUCAUAGACAUCAAAGGAAUAAAUUUUGACCAUUGCUAAAUGUGAUUAUAAAUGUAGUGAUGACAAUCGUGAUGAUUAUAAUGAUGGUGGUGAUAAUGCAAUAUGUUAAAUACGAAAUAAAGUUAGGAGCACGUAAAAUGCCGGCUUAAAAACUCUCCAAAAAUCUCAGACGAUUUUACCGAAAUUGGCUUUCCAAAAUUGCGCAAUGAAAGGCGCCUUAAUUUUCACAGCAGCUAAUUUUUAAUCGACAGUUUGAUGUUAUUUAUGCAAAUUCUUGUUAAAAAUUCUUUGUACUUUGAGCAUUUUUUUUUUUAUUUCACCCACUGACAUUUCACAAUGUCAGUGGGUAUUAAUUUCACAGAAUACUUGAAAAUUCAUAGGUGAUACUUUUUAAAAGCUAAAAUAUCUUAAAUAUUUUUGUUCAAAUUUUCUGCUACAUUUCAAUAGAUUUUAAUGAGAAGUUUCAUAAUGCUAUAAUUUCACAGCAUUCACCUCAAAACUCAUGAGUGAUGUAUUUGAUAAAAGAACCAGAUUUUUUUGUAAAUGUUUGCCAAAUUUCUGAAAAUUUUUAAACAUUUCAAAUAAUAUUUUCCGUCAAAAAUUUUCAAUAUCCAUUUAUUAAUUGUGUAUGACUUUGACAUUUACUUGAAAAUUCUUUCUUGAUGAUUUUUACUGAAAAAAAGUCAGGUAAAAGAUUCAAAUACUGGCAAUUUUCCCGCAAAAUUUCGGGAACAUGUGUAAUUAACUAAAUUGCACAAUUUUUUCAUUUCACAGAAGGUACCUGAAAAUUUGUUAUAUGUUAUAUUAAGUAAAAAUGAACAAACAGAAAAAAAUCCAGGAAUUUCCGCAAAAUGUCCGGAAUGAAAAUUUUCAACCCAAUAGCGUUUAAAUAUUGCAGCGUUUACUAAAAAAUACAUAAAUGAUGUUUUACAAUGUUAAAAUUGCCCCUUAAAAAGUUCCGGCAAAAUUACAAAAAUUGUCCUACAUAAAAAAAUGCAAGGCAAGUGGGCUUGAAAUUUUCAGGAAGACUGUACAAUUGGUUAAUAAAACAUUUCUCUAAAGAAUUUCUCAAAAAUUACGUCCAGAAAAAAUUUGCAAAAAUUUAAACACAUCAUAACACAUUGAUGCUGUGGUCAAAAGUCAAAAUUAUUCACACGUUAUUUGUAGAGAAUUGUCUUCACUAUACGAUAUCAAAAUUUGGAAGAAAACUGACCAGUAAAAACGAAGAUACGGUCAAGUCAUUGACGUUUGUUGCGGAAAUAUGUAAUUUUCACUAAUAACUUAAAAUUGACGUAAUUACAAAAUCUCCAAAUGAAAUAUUGAAUAUAUAAAAGAGUGAGAAAAAAUUUGGGGUCAACGGACUCCCUGAAGAGCUACAGUGAAUUUUAUAUAGGCAUAUUUUAGCCCAUUUACGCGCGCGUAAUGCAAAUUUGAAUGGACGCGCAUUCCCGUAUUAUUGGUCGUAAGAGGCUGAAUGAGGUAUCAAAUUAAUCAGAAGAUAAUGAACAAUGGAAAGACAUGAAAGAAAUGAUGACUCGAAGAUGCAUAACGAUGGUAGGUGCAAGAACGCGCACGCAUACCUGUGCGCGCGCAAAUUCUUGACAUGCUCAAAAUGACCAGAAACGUACCCAAACUUGACCACGGUCGAUUUGGGGAAAUUUAAAAUUUUGACGCGCGCGUACGUGCGCGUCGUGACCUUUGCAUGACCUCUGAUGAUAUGUCCUGAUGACCUGUCACCUGAACUUGAUAUGAUGCAAAUAUGGAUGAUUUUUGAUGAUUAGUUGCGAUGAUAUGAUCAAUCAUUUAAUUUUACAAAAUGGCGCCUAGAUGACGUCAUCAUGAUUUGAUAACCUUGAAAAGUUUCCAUUCCCAUGUCCAUAAUGAUGCCCAUACAUGACAUGAAAAUCAAGGAAAUUGACAUGCCCGAUUUUGAGAUAGAGGUGGACAAAGAUUUGGCAAUAAAAAUAAAUAAAGUAAAUUCUGACGAAUAUAAUAGGUGAUCUGUCAUCUUCAUGACAGACCACCUAAAAAGGACCAAAAAAAAAAAAAAAAAAAAAAAAGGGGGUCCAGCGAGGUUUGAACCACCGAACCCUGGUAUACCAGUCAGGUGUGUUAUCCAGUCGGCCACAGUGUGUUCGACAAGCACAGAGAGC
Lytechinus pictus (painted urchin) is the source of this 4949-nucleotide long non-coding RNA. RefSeq lists it as uncharacterized. The record is from RefSeq and is a predicted model, not a curated record. Lineage: Eukaryota; Metazoa; Echinodermata; Echinoidea; Temnopleuroida; Toxopneustidae. The transcript is spliced from 4 exons.